CCUACGGGUGGCAGCAGUGAGGAAUAUUGGUCAAUGGGCGCGAGUCUGAACCAGCCAAGUAGCGUGAAGGAUGACUGCCCUAUGGGUUGUAAACUUCUUUUAUAUUGGAAUAAAGUGUUGCACGUGUGGCUUUUUGUAUGUACCUUAUGAAUAAGGAUCGGCUAACUCCGUGCCAGCAGCCGCGGUAAUACGGAGGAUCCGAGCGUUAUCCGGAUUUCUUGGGUUUAAAGGGAGCGUAGAUGGGUUGUUAAGUCAGUUGUGAAAGUGUGCGGCUCAACCGUAAAAUUGCAGUUGAAACUGGCAGCAUUGAGUACAGUAGAGGUAGGCGGAAUUCGUGGUGUAGCGGUGAAAUGCUUAGAUAUCACGAAGAACUCCGAUUGCGAAGGCAGCCUACUGGACUGCCACUGACACUGAGGCUCGAAAGUGUGGGUAUCAAACAGGAUUAGAUACCCGGGUAGUC
This 460-nucleotide ribosomal RNA is filed under the name uncultured bacterium. RNAcentral describes it as "partial 16S ribosomal RNA". It matches the Rfam family "Bacterial small subunit ribosomal RNA", at positions 338 to 795 of the family's 1533-position model. The record is from RNAcentral.